Molecule: long non-coding RNA, 5466 nt
Organism: Alligator mississippiensis (American alligator)
Lineage: Eukaryota; Metazoa; Chordata; Crocodylia; Alligatoridae
Exons: 5
Source: RefSeq, a predicted model, not a curated record
CGUGUGGCCGCGCCGGGCAUUGCGGCGGGGAGACCCCGGCGGGCACACGAGCCGGCUCCGCGCUGCCCGCCUGGGGCUGGAGCGGGGCGUGGAGCCCGGAGGGAAGGGCCCGGAACGAAGCCGGCUCCGUGCCGCCCUCCCUGCGCGUCGCCCUGCGCGGAGCAGCCGGUUUGUAAACGCAGAGAAGAGAAUCCGCUGCCCCGUGCUACUGCCCUGCGAGUCAAGCCAGGGUUUCCAGCCGAGAGAUGAGGGCAGGGAGAGAGAACGCGGCUCCGCGCCCCGCGCCUGCAGCUCGGGCAGGCGGGAGAUCGAGGCAGAGAGAGAAGGAGAAAAAGGCGUCGCUCGCUCGGGGUCCCUCGGGCGGUGCCCGCGGCCGGGGCAGGCGGGGUGGCGCUGCUCGGGCGGACACACGAUGCGCGACAUCGACUCCGGGCCGGGGAGAGCGCCAGCGCCGGGAUCCAAGGCUCGUGUUCCCAUUGGCCAACAGGAGCCGGGAGGCGAUUGGGUGGAACGGCCCCUUGGCCGGGUGACGGCAGCUCCGCCCUCCUUCGCUCUGAUUGGCCUGUGCCGAGGGAGGCGGGACCAGGAGCCGGGCCUCCCUGUCCGAGUCCGCAGCUCCGCGGGUGCGCGCACGGGGGGCGCGGAGCCACGUGGCGCUGCUGGGCCGGGCCGGCGGGCGGACCCGGGGCGCUGCGGCACGUGCUAUGGCGACCACGGCGGGUCGUGCGGGAGCUUGGGCAGGUGCCGCCGUGCGCGGGGCCCGUGGGGCUCUCCUCUGCGGGGGUGCUGCAGCGCGAAGCUGCUUGUCUGUCCCGGGGCCCCUUUCCUCCCCGCCUGCCGCCUGCGCAGCCUCCCUGGCUCCUCGACGUGGUGGGCGGUGGUGCAGGGGGUGCACGACGGGCCUUUGCUUCUCGGCCGGCGCUGAAACCUCUCCAGCGAGCAGACAUGCAGAUAGUGUGUGUGUGUGUGUGUUACACACCCUCAUUAACACAGUGAUCCUGUUACUACGUGUGUCCCUCUGUCUCUGUCCAUGGUGAUAGUGAUGUAGGUAUUCAACUCUAACGCUUGCACAGCACCGCACACGAGUGUGUGUCGUUAGUGCGGGUAUCACACAUGUCAUGAGGCAUCCGCACCCAGCAUGGAGGAAACCCGGCUCAGUGCUGCCCUACCGCUGAGCGCUCCCCUUGAUUCGUAUCAAGUCUCAUUCCACUUGCUGAGGUUGGCCGGAGACGAUGCCCACAGACUACAGGGAAGGCUGCAGGCUUCUGGAGGACACUGAGUGCGCUGGGACCCUGAGACUUAGUGACCUUCCUGUAACUCAGGUCCAGGUCUCUGCUCCUCUGUUCUGCUGGUCCUGGCACUAUGAGAUGCCCCUCCGCACCCUGUAAACAGGGCUGCACCCCCACCCCCUCUGAUCUUGGGGGAGGAGGCCUCGUUUAGCCCUUUGGGCUCUGUGGCUCCCAUGGCAGGAGGCUGAAGUCGUGCCCUGAUGUCCCCAGACAUGGGGCAGCUUUGACCCCUGAUCAAGACCACUUGGUCCACUUGUCAGGUAGCACUGAGGGCUUUGCAGGUUGUCUCUGGGCUUUAUGCCCCAGCAGCCAGCUGUGUGCAGGGAGCACUGUCCUGUAAGCAGGGUUUUCGGUGUUUGUGGUCACUGUUCAUGGUGCCGCCCUAGCAGUUCUGUGCAGAGUCCUGGCCUGUCACACUCUUCUUCUGGCUGGCCCAGAUGUCAGCAGCCGAGCCCACAGAUAUCUGCACUUCCCCAUUUCCAUUGAUGGAGGACAGAUCGGCAGCAGAUUCAGGUAAGAAAGGGAGCCAAGUUGUGACCCCCAGACCCAUCCUCCAAGGUGGUCAGCGUUUGUCUCUGUUUAUUAUAGGCCCUGGUAGGAGAAGCAGGAAAGAUGACACACAAGCAGGCAUCAGCUUCCAAGGAGGGAAGAAAACCAUGCCGUCCCAGGAAACAUAAGGGAAUUUCAACGUGGUGACUCUUUUUUAUUUUAUUUUGUGUUUUUAAUUUUAUUCCAUCACUGAGCGGUAGACCUUGGAAUCGGUUUUUCCAGUGUAAGGUUUGAGGUCAAGCGGUUUGCAGCACAUUGCUCCUUUCUGGCCUGGGAACACUUUUUCACUUGUCAGAGUGUGGCGAGCGAGAGAGAGGAGCGCCUAGGAACGAAAGCGUUUGUUAUUUUCUUUUUGUUGUUAAAACCACUGCAGCGUACUUUAUUUUCUUCUCAGUGCUGGGAAAGGGGCGCGAUGCAUCCUCGUAGCCUUCUCCUCCCACCUCCAUACCUAGGGCGAUAAACACCGGUAUAGAUUUUCAGGUCUUUUGGCCUUAGCGAGCCUUAGGGCCCCCCUCUAAUACUUUUGGGCACACGACCUCCCUGUAUCUCAGGGCAUGGGUGUUUGCCCCCUUCUUUUAGGGUGGCUAGUAUGUCCUCUUGGCCACUUGGUAGCUCACUUGAAGACUUACUGCCAUCCUUCUUGGUGACAGGCACUGUAUCCCCUACCCAAGUCCAUGGAGGUGAGUGCCCUAGCACUUGGCCAGCCAUUCUUCUGCACCCCCGCCCCCAGCCUGCAGCCUUUAAGCAGGGUCCAGGUCCCCUUAUUCCACGUGCUGAGGUUGGCCAUAGAGGAUUCCUACAGACUACAGGGAAGGCUGCAGGCUUCUGGAGGACAUUGAGUGCGUUGGGACCCUGAGGCUUAGUGACCUUCCUGUAACUCAGGUCCAGGUCUCUGCUCCUCUCUUCUGCUGCUCCUGGCACUAUUGAGAAGGCUUCACACUGCACCCUUUCAGCAGGACUCCACCCCCAGCCCUUCUGACCCUGGGUGAGGAGGCUUCUCUCAACCACCACCCCCUGGGUCUGACCACGGAGCCAAUUCCCCAGCCAGCGGAUUGUGGUGGACCCAAGGCUAUAAUUGGCCAUCUUUGCCAAGAGGUGGUCAGGGGAUACCAGGUCAAAGGCUUUUUUGAAAUCAAGAUAUAUGACAUCAAUCUCUUCUCCCUUGUCCAGGUGGUAGGUCACCUGGUCGUAGGAGGAAAUGAGAUUGGUCAAGCAAGACCUACCCGCAACAAAACCGCGCUGGCCAUCCCUCAGGAUGUUGCCAUCAGCCAGUCCAUUAAGGAUGGCCUCUUUAAUAAACUUUUCUAAGACCUUCCCCAGGAUAGAGGUCAGGCUGAUGGGCCUGUAGUUUGCCGGAUCCACUUUCCAUCCUUUCUUGAAGAUAGGCACCACAUUGGCCUUCUUCCCGUCCUCAGGCACUACACCAGAGCACCAGGUGCUGCCAAGGAUCCGUGCCACAGGCUGAGCUAUGAUGCUCGCCAGCUCCUUGAGUACCCUGGGGUGUAGACUGUCAGGCCCGGCUGACUUGAAGGUAUCCAGCCUCUCAAGGUGUCCCUUCAUGAGGUCAGCAUUGAUGGCGAGCAGGAAAUAUCCCUCACCUGGACCUCCCUGUCCUGUAGUGAGCAUGGGUGUCCCAUGGGACUGACGAAAGACCGACGCAAAGUACCCAUUUCAAAGGUUGGCUUUUUCUUGGGCGUCAGUUGUCAGGUGUCCCAUAUGUUUCGACAGGGGUCCAAUGUUGCCCUUCCUUUUCCUUCGGCUCCCCACAUAUCUGAAAAAGGACUUUUUAUACUCCUUGAUCCUUGAAGCUAGCUGGAGUUGAGUUGCAGCCUUGGCUUUCCUGGUUUGCCCACUGCAGGACUGGACCAGGGCAGAAUAUUCCCCCUUGGCUGGCCGGGAUGUCAGUGUUGCCGCAAGGAUUUCUUUUAACAGAGGCCCCAAGGAUUGACACGGCCCCUCAUCUGAUUUGGUAUCAAGUGAACUUUGAAUAGGUACAGAAAACAGAAUAGGUACUCCAAACCUAUUCUGUUUUUUGAUUUUCUUUCCUCUUAGGGAAACUGCUGUACCUGGUUAGCCCACCACACCAAUCACAGCAUUCAUUUUUCCCAGGGCCUUAUAAGGCGCUCUGUACAAUUUAAUUGCUUAGCUCUGGGAAGGCCUAAAGUUAUGCUGAGAGCCUGAGCAUGACUCGGUUUGCCUGCUACAGUUGGUAGCUGUGCCCGCAGAUGUCUGCCCUCCCCACUUUCCGCAGACAGAGGACAGAGUGGCCGCGGGUCCAGAAGAAGAAGCAGAGAAGACGACAGACAAAUAGGAGUUAACUGAUAACCAGGGCAGAAAACUAUGCCAGGCAACCUGGAGGCAAAGUCACUGCUCGUGGUGGCGCCUUAGCAGUUCUGUCCAGAGUCCUGGCCCGCCGCACUCUGCUUCUGGAUGGCCCAGAUGUCUGCCUCUGAGCCUACGGAUGUUUGCCCUCCCCCAUCUCCAUGGACAGAGGAGAGAUGGGCAGCAGAUUCAGCCCCCAGAAGGAGAAGCAGAGAAGACAGCAGACAACCAACUGAGAAAGGAAGAAAUCCCCGCCCGCUCAGCGGGAUGGAAAGGUCCCUGAAGGGCAGGUGGAGAAGAAGGAAUGGAAGCAAGAGAAGAAAGCUCGGGAACAGCAAGUGUGGGUUGGGGUGGGCAGGAGGAAGGGGAAUAUUUAAUGUCUGCUUAGAGAAGUACAGAUGGAGACUGCUGAGUGCCUCUCUACACUUCCAAACACCCAUUAGGAGCAAGCAGCUGCACGCUUCAAGUUGCACCGUGCACUCGGUCUUGGGUUGGCCCCGAUUGUGUGCAAGGAGGUUGAGGCUUUGUGCUAGUUGUGCAUUUUGAUAUGCAGCAGUGAAGGGUUUGGUAGGUUGUUUGGCUUUGCUAGUUAAGCAGUGGAUCAAAAUAGAUGCGAUUGAAGGCAGCGUAUAGGAUGUUCUUGGUUGGGUUGUUGAGCGGUUCUCGGCGUUAGUGUAGAAAUGCAGAUUUGUUCUUGGUUCUGUUUUUGUUUUGGCUGUAGCUUUGCAUAGGAUGUAGCUUGCGGGGCCAAUUCGAGGCUGUUUGUGGUGCAAUAUAUUUGCAUCUGUACGUUAAGGUUUCAGGGUGUUCGUGUUUAACCUCCAGCUCCACAAGGACAAAGAUCUUGUCCUGUGUCUAAACAAUCGUAAAGGUAGUUGGCGUGGUCAACAUCAAACCAGCCGGAGCAAACGGGCCCUAGAUGUGCACAGUCGAACAAUAAACGGUCUAAGAAACUUCACCUCAUGGCUGGUACUUUUCUGUGCUGAGAUUUGGCUACGGGCCUUUCCUGUUGCGAGCUGGCUGAAGGAUGAACUUUUUCGUUCAGUCUGCCGAUCCGAUCUGUGUUCUUACUUGUGCAAUGCAAAUAUUUCCUCUUCUGAUGGACCAGUGGGAAAAGAAUGUGUAACACAUGGUUCCUAGUCAUUGGUUUACAAUGGUUAAUGCACUGUAGGAAAUCAGUCCUGAGUUAUUUGAGGUAAAGUAUAGUGAAGUUGUGGUGUUGUGGUGUAAUCUGUUGAAGUUCAGCUUCUUGCUCCUUGUCUCAAAAGGAAUACAUGGUCCGAAUGAAAAUAAAAUUCUCAGGAGA